AUGUCAGCUGGUGGAACAAUCAUGAACAAGACUGUCGAGGGUGCAAUUAUUCUCAUUGAGAGCAUUGCCUUCCACCAAAUGCAAUGGGGUUAUGAAAGGCCUAGUUCAAAUCCGAAGGUUGCAAGCCUCGUGCAAUCAGAAGUUGUGUGUUCCAUAAGUGAACAGAAAUCAUCCAUGGUGCCUAAUAUUCAAAACCAGCAUGUUUCAUUCUGGGGACAACAACAUUUCAGAACUGAAUUAGAUCCUCCAUAUAGAAAGAUUGAUCUUACUUCAAUUAUCCUUGAUGAUGAUUAUGAUAUUUUUCAAGAUGAUGAAACUACUGUAGAUCAGAUGGAAACCACAAUAGCAGAUCCAACACCUCAUGGCAAUGAAACUGUCCAGAAUGAGUCAAAGUUGCAAGAAGAUGUUUAUGAGGAACCUACUCUGAUUGAUGCUAAGUUGAGACAGCAAGAUAUGGAGAAAUUCACUUGUGUUAGUCAACUAUGUGACUGGUGGAAUUUAGUCGUGUCACCAAUUGCCCACACUUGUGUUACAAUGGUAUCUGGGCUAUUUGUCAAGAAGAAAUCAUUAGCUCCACCGGUGGUUGCCUCUAUCACAGUUAAAGAGAGUAUCUCAGAGAAGAAUAGUGAAGAUGAGAUUCCAACUCCUGCACAUACAACUAAGCAAGUCGGAGACAUUCCAAGGAGAGAGAUACAAGAGGUUGAGUCAAAUUUAGAAGAGUUGAUACUUCAAUAUCCUGAGAAGAUCCCACGUGUUGCUGAGCUGCAUGACUGGUGGAAGUCAUCAGUGUCACUAUUGAAACUUAGCAGUGAUGGUGAUGAGGAGAACAUUGCUCAGAAAGACAGCGAGGUAGUGAUCUUAGCACCCCUACCAGAUCAUGUUAGUGAAUAUUCAGAGAUGGGGAUACUUCAGACUCAAUUAAGUGUUGCUGGUAGUAGCACCAUAGAAGAUCCAGAGGAAGAGCGUCCUCAACUUGAAGAAGAUUUACAAGAAGACAAGGAACAAGAUGAUCAAGAGCUGCAAUUCCCAAGUGAUCAAGUUGAAGACUCAUCAUCUACUACUCCUGAAGAAGUACAAGAAGCUGCCGUAGAUGAAGAUGAAGAACAUGAGAUUCAUUUGCCUAUUGUCAUACCAGAGCAUGAUGUGUCAGGUUUACCCAAUCCUCUUGAUGACAUGCAUCCUUAUGAUUCCUUUGCUUCUACCUUGCAUUGCAUGAUGCCAUCUGUUAAAGUAGAUUUGAAAAAGUAUUUGUUUGGAUAUGAUCAUAUAUACCCUGUUAGUGGCAUUACUCACAUUAAUGAUGAUCACAGUUACUUUCCUCGUGCUAGACCUAUGCUUAAUGAAACAUAUCAUUCUUAUGCUAGUCUUGAGCUUAAUGAAAAAUAUCAUCCUCAUGUUAGUGUUGACUUUGCUGAUUUCUACCAUCCUAAACAUGUGCUUUAUAGCUAUGCUUAUGUAAUUGGAUAUUCGAUUGAUGACUUGGAGGGUAUUAUUCCUACCACUUGCAUUGUCUCUUUCGUUGAGUGCUCUUUCAGGUUCUUGCUUGUGCACGAAUCACUACAUGCUGACCAAGUUCGAGAUGACAUUCCCUGGGAUCCCGGUGGACCCAUGGCAUGGGGAUGA
This 1623-nucleotide ribosomal RNA is filed under the name Triticum aestivum (bread wheat). RNAcentral describes it as "partial small subunit ribosomal RNA". Lineage: Eukaryota; Viridiplantae; Streptophyta; Magnoliopsida; Poales; Poaceae. The record is from RNAcentral.